GCCUGGGUGGCUCAGUUGGUUAAGUGUCUGACUUCAGCUCACGUCAUGAUCUCGCAGUUUGUGGGUCUGAGCCCCACCUCGGGCU
This is a non-coding RNA of Felis catus (domestic cat), 85 nucleotides long. Lineage: Eukaryota; Metazoa; Chordata; Mammalia; Carnivora; Felidae. The record is from Rfam.